RNAcentral lists this transfer RNA (68 nucleotides) under Cobitis hankugensis. RNAcentral describes it as "tRNA-Leu". It matches the Rfam family "tRNA". Rfam says of the family: Transfer RNA (tRNA) molecules are approximately 80 nucleotides in length. The record is from RNAcentral. Lineage: Eukaryota; Metazoa; Chordata; Actinopteri; Cypriniformes; Cobitidae.
CGCUUUUAAAGGAUAACAGCUCAUCCGUUGGUCUUAGGAACCAAAAACUCUUGGUGCAAAUCCAAGUA